UUCGUUGAAAUUUUUUAAAAUUGUAGUGCAAUGUUACAAAAACACAUAUUGUUGCUUCAAAACAUCAUGUUAAAAGUUUUUUAUUUCUUUCUAAUAAAAAACUUGCACCACACAUUUUGUUUUAAUUUUUAAAAUAAAUCAAAUUUGAUGCGUCUUUUAUUUCUUUUUCUUCGUUUGUGUGUAAGUAUGUUAUGUUCCUCUUAUAUGUGCAUUUUUG
This 217-nucleotide long non-coding RNA is filed under the name Lathyrus oleraceus (garden pea). RNAcentral's name for it is "Pisum sativum (pea) long non-coding RNA (PSAT_LNC021646)". Lineage: Eukaryota; Viridiplantae; Streptophyta; Magnoliopsida; Fabales; Fabaceae. The record is from RNAcentral.